GACGAACGCUGGCGGCGUGCUUAACACAUGCAAGUCGAACGGAAAGGCCCUGCUUUUGUGGGGUGCUCGAGUGGCGAACGGGUGAGUAACACGUGAGUAACAUGCCCUUGACUUUGGGAUAACUUCAGGAAACUGGGGCUAAUACCGGAUAGGAGCUCCUGCUGCAUGGUGGGGGUUGGAAAGUUUCGGCGGUAGGGGAUGGACUCGCGGCUUAUCAGCUUGUUGGUGGGGUAGUGGCUUACAAAGGGUUUGACGGGUAGCCGGCCUGAGAGGGUGACCGGCCACAAGGGGACUGAGAUACGGCCCAGACGCCUACGUGAGGCAGCAGUGGGGAGUAUUGCACAAUGGGCGGAAGCCUGAUGCAGCAACGCCGCGUGCGGGAUGACGGCCUUCGGGUGGUAAACCGCUGUCGCCUGUGACGAAGCGUGAGUGACGGUAAUGGGUAAAGAAGCACCGGCUAACUACGUG
Molecule: ribosomal RNA, 468 nt
Filed under: uncultured bacterium
Lineage: Bacteria
Description: partial 16S ribosomal RNA
Rfam family: Bacterial small subunit ribosomal RNA
Source: RNAcentral